AAAUUCCCUUGGGGAGUGGGGUUUGCGUAAGCACAUUUUAGUAUAUUCCUCUCGCAUAUUACUCAUUUCAUUCAUUCCCCCUUCUUCCAUAUUCUUCUUCAUACCUUCAAUUCCCCAUCUCUUUUUCCUCUAACCACUUCUUCUUCUUGUUCUCUCUCUUUCUCACACAAAACAAGUAUUUAGUUCGUAUUAUUUGAUAUCAGAGCCAAUCAUUAUGUCGGGAAUCAGAUGUAACAUGAAGAGAAAGGACUAUUGUUAGGUCAGUAUUGAUGGAGUGGUCAUUGUGGAUGCCAGUUGCAAGAGAGCAUAGUAUAGUCGGUUUUUAAGCCGCACUGACAGUCCAAACCAGAAUUUGUCGAUUGGGCCACCGUAAUCAAAUCUGAUUUCAGCUGCGGUAAUGUUACAAGCGCACCACUUAUAUCUUGAAAGAGCACCAGGGCGACAAUCUAAAACACAUCCCCUGCGAAGAGAAGGGACGCAAGCAGACAUUUUGGGGACACUUGACAGACAUGUGUCUUGUAAUUGGACACAACUCAAGACACCUUUGUCCUACAUAUUCCUCAAGAUAUUCCUGCACAGCAGACGUAACAUGAAACCCGUUAAGUUGUCACAUGACCACGUAAAGCAUGCAAGAACUAUGUUCUUCGGGUCAGAUCCCAAGAGUACACAUAAUUUCUGAUGGAUGACUGAGUUGAAAAUCAUGAAAGAAUAUUUCAGAGAGAGAGAGAGAGAUGCUUCUGUUAAAAACAAAAUUUUCCAAAUCAACAAUGACCAAGAUGAAGAGCAGCACAAUGAAAGACAAGAUGAAGAACAACAAUGACCUUUGAGUAAUGGGUGUCCAAAUCAACAGCUGCCCUCUGCUCAGGAGUUUUAGCCCUCAAGAAACGAAUUGCAAUGGAUAAUGUUUUCCGGUCAAGCUGCAAAGGAGUAAAGAGCAUGAACAUCAAAUGGGGUAACUGGCUUCAAUUGUAAAAUAAAUAUUCUUGAUCUUCUUCAACAACAAAUAAACAUUUGGUACACAAUAUGACUCUAAACAGAAGUUAAAUUUAUAUUAAUGCGAAAAUUCCAAAAGGUGGGAGCCAAA
Molecule: long non-coding RNA, 1084 nt
Organism: Camellia sinensis
Lineage: Eukaryota; Viridiplantae; Streptophyta; Magnoliopsida; Ericales; Theaceae
Source: RefSeq, a predicted model, not a curated record